UCAUAACCUAAGCCACAUGCGGAGCAUAU
RNAcentral lists this small RNA (29 nucleotides) under Bombyx mori (domestic silkworm). Its description in RNAcentral is "ovarian small RNA-25868". Lineage: Eukaryota; Metazoa; Arthropoda; Insecta; Lepidoptera; Bombycidae. The record is from RNAcentral.